RNAcentral lists this ribosomal RNA (187 nucleotides) under uncultured bacterium. RNAcentral's name for it is "partial 16S ribosomal RNA". It matches the Rfam family "Bacterial small subunit ribosomal RNA", at positions 1306 to 1500 of the family's 1533-position model. The record is from RNAcentral.
UGCAACUCGACUCCAUGAAGCUGGAUUCGCUAGUAAUCGCGCAUCAGCCACGGCGCGGUGAAUACGUUCCCGGGCCUUGUACACACCGCCCGUCAAGCCAUGGAAGCCGGGAGUGCCUGAAGUGCGUGACCGCAAGGAGCGUCCUAAGGCAAUACCGGUGACUGGGGCUAAGUCGUAACAAGGUAGC